Long non-coding RNA from Gigantopelta aegis, 437 nucleotides. RefSeq lists it as uncharacterized. The transcript is spliced from 3 exons. The record is from RefSeq and is a predicted model, not a curated record. Lineage: Eukaryota; Metazoa; Mollusca; Gastropoda; Neomphalida; Peltospiridae.
AAAAAGGAGACUAAUACGCCUCUGAUUUAACCCAGGCUAAGACAUCCGUGUCAUACGAUGCUCGGUAACUAAUAGGGAUAUCCCGUAUCCUGGUAUUGCAUCACUUAAAUAAAGGAAUGUUACAAUCAACGGACCGGAUUCACAUGGAAGUUGGAGCCAAGAUGUUUCCUUAAACGGGGCCGUUGAUCUGGGAUGCGCUGGUGACGUUAAACCAAAUGACCACAUUGGUGACCAGUCAAAUAGUUUGCGAACGUUAGCGUCGAUUGCUGUUACCGAACACGGUGAAGACUUGAAUAGAAACAAAAUUGAAGUGAAUGAUUUCAAUCGGCGGAGCUCCCCAACGACGGAACCACAGUGCAGUUCACUUCUGGUACUAACCAACACGAGCUCAGCGGCGGGUCAAGGAAUCGUUGGUGUGUGUGACAUGAAAACUUGUU